RNAcentral lists this non-coding RNA (236 nucleotides) under Candidatus Epulonipiscium sp. Its description in RNAcentral is "Epulopiscium sp. T-box sequence". It matches the Rfam family "T-box leader". From Rfam's summary of the family: Uncharged tRNA acts as the effector for transcription antitermination of genes in the T-box leader family. T-boxes are found upstream of many aminoacyl-tRNA synthetase genes and some amino acid biosynthetic genes usually in Gram-positive bacteria. Lineage: Bacteria; Bacillati; Bacillota; Clostridia; Lachnospirales; Lachnospiraceae. The record is from RNAcentral.
CCAAAUGCAUUGAUAAAGAGAAAAAUAUUUGAAAACUUUACAGAGAAUUGGUGGUGCUGAGAGCCAAUAAGGAUAGAAUAUAUAAUAUACACUUUUGAGCAGGUUUGUUGAAUAAUGUUUAAUUUUAGUAGGCAAACACGGACACCCCCGUUAACAGGUUAGAAGUUGAUAGACUUUGAAGCGGCAAUUUUUUUAUUGCAAUUAGGGUGGUACCACGGAAAUCUUUCGUCCCUAUA